CGAACGCUGGGCGGCGUACUUAACACAUGCAAGUCGAACGGGGAUCAUCGGGGUAGCAAUACCUCGGUGAUUCUAGUGGCGCACGGGUGAGUAACACGUGGGUAACCUGCCCUCGAGACCGGGAUACCCCCUCGAAAGGGGGGCUAAUACCGGAUACGUUCCCCGAGUCGGAAGACCUGGGGAGGAAAGGUGGCGAAAGCUGCCGCUCUUGGAGGGGCUCGCGGCCUAUCAGCUAGUUGGCGGGGUAAUGGCCCACCAAGGCGAUGACGGGUAGCUGGUCUGAGAGGACGAUCAGCCACACGGGGACUGAGACACGGCCCCGACUCCUACGGGAGGCAGCAGUGGGGAAUUUUCCGCAAUGGGCGAAAGCCUGACGGAGUGACGCCGCGUGUGGGAUGAAGGCCUUCGGGUCGUAAACCACUGUCAGUGGGAAAGAUGGAUGUCGGCGCGAUAACCGCCGGCAUUUGACGGUACCUGCAGAGGAAGCCCCGGCUAACUCUGUGCCAGCAGCCGCGGUAAGACAGAGGGGGCAAGCGUUGCUCGGAAUUACUGGGCGUAAAGGGCGCGUAGGCGGGAUGGCAAGUCGGUCGUGAAAUCCCUCGGCUCAACCGAGGAGCGUCGAUCGAUACUGCCGUUCUUGAGGAUUGCAGAGGAGACUGGAAUUCCCGGUGUAGCGGUGAAAUGUGUAGAUAUCGGGAGGAACACCAGUGGCGAAGGCGAUCUUCUGGUCUGUUUCUGACACUCAGACGCGACAGCUAGGGUAGUAAACGGGAUUAGAGACCCCGGUAAUCCUAGCCGUAAACGAUGUGAACUUGGCGUUGGUGGGUUAAACUCCAUCAGUGCCGUAGCAAACGCGAUAAGUUCACCGCCUGGGGACUACGGCCGCAAGGUUAAAACUCAAAGGAAUUGACGGGGGCCCGCACAAGCAGCGGAGCGUGUGGUUUAAUUCGAUGCUACACGAAGAACCUUACCCAGGCUUGACAUACAGGUGGUAGGGAUCCGAAAGGUGACCGACCCGCAAGGGAGCCUGAACAGGUGUUGCAUGGCUGUCGUCAGCUCGUGUCGUGAGAUGUUCGGUUAAGUCCGCUAACGAGCGCAACCCUCGUCGCGUGUUAUAUGUGUCACGCGAGACCGCCGGUAUUAAGCCGGAGGAAGGUGGGGAUGACGUCAAGUCAGCAUGGCCUUUAUGCCUGGGGCUACACACACGCUACAAUGGCCAGUACAAUGGGUUGCUAAGCCGCGAGGUGGAGCCAAUCACUUAAAACUGGCACUCAGUUCAGAUUGCAGGCUGCAACUCGCCUGCAUGAAGCCGGAGUUGCUAGUAAACGCGCGUCAGCUAUAGUGCGUUGAUACGU
This 1355-nucleotide ribosomal RNA is filed under the name uncultured bacterium. RNAcentral's name for it is "partial 16S ribosomal RNA". It matches the Rfam family "Bacterial small subunit ribosomal RNA", at positions 30 to 1371 of the family's 1533-position model. The record is from RNAcentral.